This 13894-nucleotide long non-coding RNA is filed under the name Lactuca sativa (garden lettuce). RNAcentral's name for it is "long non-coding RNA (LSAT_LNC001007)". The record is from RNAcentral. Lineage: Eukaryota; Viridiplantae; Streptophyta; Magnoliopsida; Asterales; Asteraceae.
GUUGCUUAAGGCUUUCAAGUGUGGAACUUGUGAAUAUAUAUUCCAAACCUUCACAUCUAUCUAUUUUCAAUAUCGUUAGGUUGGGCAAUUCAAGCAGAGUCAUAUUUGCGGACCUUGGGAUGGUGAUUGCAGUACAAGUAUCAUCACUUCCAUCACCAACAUUAGUAGUACUAUCAACAUCAUUGUUGUUUAUCCCUUUACUUUCAAAUACAUAGGAUGGAAACACUCUUGACAAGGCAUGACAAUCAGGCAUACUAAUCACUUUGGAGUAUUAGCAUAAGAACCAAGAAGCAACAACUUGAGAACACCACAACAACACAUGAAAAAUCAAUGGAUCUGUUUAAAUUAACAAAGCUUAGUUGUUUGCUACACACAUACACACAACAUGUGUUUCUAAAAAUAUGGUUACAAACACGAGUGCUUCCCACAACUAAGGUAAUUAUGAACAACUACAAAAAGGUAAACUAAAUCAAUCAUAAAAUUGGCCUUAUAGUGGGUUACAGGAGAUUAUAAACAACUUCAAAAAGGAAAUAGAAACAAGAAAAAAACAAAACUGUCACAUUGCUAAUUAACACAACUAAUUAGCAUUUAUUCAAAUUAAAACUUGAAAAUGAAGCGACUUUGAUUAGCAAUUAAUCAGCAUAUAUAUUUCACACGUAUCUGCAGGAACACAUGCAGAAUCAAAGUAUAAACACAUGCAAGUAUGAUAUAAACCAUAAAAUAUACAAAUAUUGUAACUAUGAAUUUUACUUGUGUGUACUGAAGAAGGGCUAAAUGCAAAACAUAGCAACACAUUUCCAUUUAUUCGUUUGUUAAAGCAUCGUACUUUCGUUUCUUUCUAUUUAAGCAACAGAAAUCGUUUCUAUUUUAAUAACUUUUUUUUGUUUUUUUUUAAACUCGAGUUGGAGAAAAAAGUUUAUUUGAUGGUACGAGUUUAAGUUUCUACUCCAAAAGCUAUUUCAAGUAGAUUUUAGCAUCUUUCAGUUUUUUGAAAUUCUACACCGUUAAGUGUUAACUACUUUUAUGGAAUAAUUACACACAAGUAAUCACCAUAGAGAUCUCAAACCAAGUACAAAGGGCUUUUUUGAGACCAUAUAUACCGGAAUUUUAGAAGCCAACAAACUUCACCCGGUUGGUGGGCAACACUUAGGGGAGAAGUCAUGUAAACCUCCUCAUGAAGAUCGUUGUUCAAGAACACAUUCUUACCAUCCAUUCAGAAUAUCUUCACUAACUAACGAAUGGAUGCAACUGUGUUAUUAGAGUACGACAUUCAUCACUUUUGUCGUCAAUUUUUGUGUGGGUGAAACUAACCCUUCUUAUGAGUCUAGUGAAGAGUCAUAAGUUCCUCAACUAUAGCAUUCUACCAAAGGAGAUCAUAAACAGCCUCUCUGUACGACUUGGUUUCUCACAUAUUAUGUAUAUUGGCAAUAAAUGAAGCAAACAAAGUCAAAAUAAGAUGGAUAAGAAAAUUGCAUGAGUUUGAUGGACUUACAAGUACCGUUGGACUUAAAAUGUGGUGGAAGUUUCAUAGUCACAGUUAGAGAGGAGCAUUUAGACCAAAAACCAAAUCGAAUCGAAUCGAACUGAAUUAGGCCUGAAUAAGCAAUUCGGUUCGGGUUUCGGGUAUCUAUAUUAGGCUUAGUCGGUUCUCGAAUUUUUCGGUUUGGGUUACCCAAAUAAGUGCUUAUUCGAUUCAAAAUAUCCGGCCCAGAAUUUCAGCAUGGUUGCAGAAAUUUAGGCAACUUUGAACUGUAAUGACGUCUUCGUUAUUUACCCCAUUUGCCUAUUUUUUUCCAUCUUGUAGCUCACGGUUUAAACUACUAUUUACAUAGUUUAUAUGCUAUUUUUGGUUAUAUAUUCAAUGAGAUACAUGCCCCUAAAUAUGGGGUAUUGAAGCUAAAUUUUCUGUUUCAGCAUGUUUGUAGAAAUGUAGGCAACUUUGAACUAUUAUAGGGUCUUCAUUAUUUGUCCGAUUUGCUUGAUUUUGGGGGUUGGAUUUUACAUUCUUAUAUCUCAAGAAUAGUUAACCCGUGUUUACAAUAAAUUUAGAGAAAAAGUGAAAUCAUUUUUGGUGUAUAUCGAAUCUUUUGUUCGUUAAUUUGGGAACAAAAACAUACAAAAUAUAAAUUCGUGUUUACAUUUAAGUCUACAGUUAUAUAUUUGUCCAUGCUGCGCAUGCUUAUUACACAAAUUCUGACAUUUUUUUGCAUCUUUGAAACAAUUAUAUAUACUUUCAUUAUUUUUAAUCAAACAAGAUUGUUUCUUUAAUAGUUUUGUUAUGGAAUCAUAAGCUACAAAAGUAUUAAAAAAUACAGUUUUUAUAAUCAUAUUGUAAAUGUUAUUCGGGUUAUGGAAUCAUAAUACGGUUUAUUUGCUUUUUUUCAGUUAUAUUAAGUCAUUAAUCAUAUCGUGAAUGUUAUUCGGGUUAUUCAAGUAAUAACUGACCCGAACCGAUUAAUACCCGAAUCGAACCGAACUCGUAUUAGGUUAUUCGAUUCGAGUUUCGGUUCCUCCGAUUAGCCUUAUUCAGUUUUUAGAUUAUUCAGGCUCAGGUAAAGUCGGUCCGGUUCCGACCCGAAUAACAUCCUAGUCACGGUAGGUAAACAAUAAGAGGAACUGGAGCAAUGUAUGAUGUUGUAAGCAUAUUAUAAAUUGGGUCAUCAGAUGCAAUGUUAUCUCUUUAAUUCAAAUGUACUAGAGUUGAUUAUCUAAUACAUCCAAUGGAUGAAAACAACAUUAAAAUCAAUAGCUAGUUAUAAAGAACGUUACAACAACAUUAUGCAUAUUUUAUUGGUCCUACACCUAAAGUACAUCACCACGUUAACAAUAAGCAUAGAUCCUAAAUAUCCCAAAUAGGUAAAAAAAAACAGUAUAUCAAAAAUUAAGAAUUUACAUGUAAUGUUAGGCCUCAUUAUUUAGUAGCGGAUACUUGGACUUUCUUUGGUAAUCUCAUCUGCAUGAUCAACAAACAUAAUUUACCUUUAACUAAGAUAUAAAAUAAGUUUAACUAGUCUACAAAUAAUAGAUUAUUAGAGAAUUUUGACCUUAGAUUUUGUGGUUCGCCAUCCUAUUGCGUUGGCUUCUGGAUGGCUUCUGGAGAUGUAUAGGCAAAUUUUUUCAAACGGAUUUUAUGAGUCGCCUUUACUCAAACUUGUAACACUAGAAGGUGAGACUUCCUACAAUUAAAAUCCCGAUUGUUACACAUGACAGUAUAUGACAAAACAAGUUGUAUUGCAUCUGGAAUGUAUUGGAUCGGGACAGUGUGACUGAUUUCAAUAAGACAAAAGUUGCAAUUUUUAAGGGAGUCGUUUUUUAUUUGACAUAUAUGCAAAAUUACCUUAUUUUUGUGGAUGCAUCGAUAUGUUGGAUUUCUAGUCUGUCAGAAUAAAAGAGUACCUGCAUAUAGAAAAUUUAAAUAAGUGGGUUGUAUCAUAGUUACCAGAAACGCGGUACGAUACGGGGAACGAGGUACGGUACGGGUUUCAAAACAUUGACCGUAUCGGGUACCGGGGGGNGGGGGGGGGGUAGGCUCAUUUCUGUACAAUCCGGUACAGUUUAUUGUAUAGUCCGGUAGAGUGUGCCUAGUUCUAAGACAUUUCAUAAAAUAUAUGUAAUUAUGUAUUCUAUUACUUAAACUUAAUAACAAAAGUACUAAUUAUCAAAACAGGAACAAAAUAAAUACCACAAUUACUUCAUCAUAAUACUUAAUAACAAAAAUAUUAAAAUACUAUAAAGGCAUAAACUAGUUUAUCCGUUGCCUUUUUCCACUUUCAUUCUCCACGCCUUCAUCAUCAAGGUUCUCCCACACCAUUUCUUCUAGACAAGCACUUGAACAUUCAAUGUGAUCACUUUCCGGAUUGAUGUCCCAUUUUUUGUUGGGUCCGACUUUGUAAGAUUCUGAAAACCGAGACAAAAGUCUAAUAUUAGAGUGAAUAUACACAAGUUUAUCCGCUCUUGGGCCAUUUAAACGAUUCCUUUUGAUGCUAUGUAUAUGAGAGUAUGUACUCCAAUUCCUCUCAGCUGAAGAGCUACUAAUCGGUUGCGAGAGGAUUUCUUUUCAUGCCUCCUGGUGCCAACUUUGCAAGAUAAUGCUUGUCAUAAUAUUUAUGAUUUAAAUCAAAUCCUAAACAAUGGAGAGGGAUAGUCAUCUGGUCCCACCUUUCGACCAUAAUUUCAUCAACUUUAGUGUAAUAGAUUGAGAGUUUAUUGUCCCUCAUAGUAAUAGCCUCUUUGAUUUAACCCAUAAUAUUGUCCAUUCAUUCAUAUAUUUCUGCCAUUUUCAGACAUUCACCAUCACAAAACUUUACCAUGUAAAAGAUAGGUUUUGUGACAGCCAAAUUGUGAGCAAUAUCAUCCCAAAAAUCUUCAUCUUUAAUUGUAUCUGCAACCUUAUUAACAAGUACUUGAGUGUGCGGAUCCACCGUGUUGACCAUUCUCGCCACGAGUUUAAGCCAAUAGUAGUAGCAAGUGCUUCCCUACACUCGGUUAGUCUUUUCAACAAUAUGUAAUGUGAUGCAAAUCGUGUUUGUGCAACCUUCAACAAUUGCAAUUUCGAGUUGUCUCUAAAGAAAGCUAAGGCGUGUGUGUGGUUUAAAAAAACGUAACAAUACCCUUCCCUCUGUUAUAUGUAUCGGUCAGCCAGUCAAAUUGCUUCGCCAUGUCUAUAAAAAUCAAAUUUAAAGAAUGUACACAACAAGGGGACCAGAAAAUAUGUUUAUAUACCUUCUGUAUUUCUCGUCCAGCCGCCUUGCAAUUCGCCGCGUUAUUGGUUACAACUUGAGUAACACUACUUGGACCAAUCUCCUCAAUAGCUUGUCGAAGAAACUUAGCAAUCUCCACCCCCAUCUUCUCAAUCCCCGAAAAGGCCUCCGCAUACAUAAAAGUUGCACCACGUGAAUUUUGUGCAAUAACAUUUAUAAGCGGUUCAUUUUUUACAUUAGACCAACCAUCUGAGAUAACGAAUACUCCUUGCGUUAACCACGUGUCUUUGACCGGAUCAAGUUCUUUGCCCACAUCUCUCACAAAUUGAUCAAGCAAUGAAGUUCUAGCUUUUUCAUAUGAAGGUGGCUUGUAACCUUCCGAUGCUUUCUUAAUAGCUUGAAUCAUUUCAAUGAAUUGCGGGUUCCGUAACACAUUAAAGAGAAUCCCAUUAGCACACAAGCCUCGAAGUAUCUUCAUGUCAACCUCCUCUCUCUCGAGCAUCUUAAAUGCAUCUUCAAUCCUUCUUUUUGGAGUUGAGUUUUUUGAGAGCAACGAAUUCUUCAAUAAUUUGGCAGCAACACCAUUCUUUUCCGCUUCUUUCACCCUAUUAUAUAGAACGUCAUAAUACGGGUUACUUUUAACAAGAACCGGACACCUUUUGAUCUCAGUUGUUUUCCCUGCAGGAGGUCAGAAAGUGAACAUGGAUUCUAGUAUAAGAGCUGGUAUAUUUUCCUUUACAGUGGUUACAGGUCCAACGUUUAGAACCUCCACUAUUCUUGUUGUUUCCUAGAACUUCUUUAUAUGUAACUUCUUCAUGGAGUGGUUUUCUUGGAUCUUUCUCAACACUGUUUUUUGGGGCUGUUUGUUGAACCUCAUCAUCAACAUGGAUUGUUGUUUGAUCUUGGGUCUCACUAAUAUGAGUGCUUUCUGUUUCACUGUCAGAAUGAGUUGGCUGAGACUCUGAAAAAUUUUUUCUUCCAAAUUCCAUUCUUCACAAUGGGAUGCACAAUUUAUAGUGGAAAGUGGAAACUAGAAAAUUAGAUAUAACUAAAAUCGAAAUUGAAGACAGAAAGCUGAAAUGGAAAUUGAGUUUGAAUGUCCGAUACAAGAUUACAAGGUCUAUAUAUACUAAUCUCAAAGAUUUGCAAUUAACACUUUUACAAUGUGAAAUUAAAAUUGAGAAGGCUAGGCAUCAAUGAUCGAUCCAUAGUAUCUAGCUGAGUCAACGAUCGGAGAAGUCGAAUAGCCUCUGUGAAACGUGGCUAAACUCCCGCCCAAAUCGCCAUUCAGUCGAUGCAUAAAACCCGAUCGGCAACAACAAAUCGACUUCACGUACGCUCUAUUUUGACUUCAGGGACGUUCGAUUUUGACUCCGGGUACGAUCGAUUUAGACUCCAAGAACGUUAAUUGGUUCGAUUGGGAUCGCUAUUAGGUUCGAUUUGGGUCGCGAUUGGCGUCGACUGUAUCAUUUUCUAGGUACGUUCACAUAUCACGUAUUGGACCGGUUUCCAAUCGUUUGGGUACAGGGUGUUUCGGUACGUGGUACGCCACUACUUCGACGUUUCUGGUGACUAUGGGUUGUAUAUCUCCAUAGGAUCAAACAAGUAAAAUUAAAAUAAAACAUAGCCAAAUUUCAAAACAUGUCAAGUGACUUAAAAGUCAGCCAAAGUGUAAUCAAAUGCAUCCAAGGGUUCGAAUUGGUUGAGUCAAGAAAUUAGAUUAUUAGGGUAAAUACAAGAGAUAGCAACAUACUUUCAUUUUACUUGUGUAUGAUUUCUUCGUAUUAUAGCAUUUUAGUUUCAGGUUUUUUUUCUUAUUAAAGCAGUGCACUUUGAAAAAUCUACCCAAUUAUAGCAGCGAAAAUUGCUUUGUAUAUAGAUGACAUUGCUAUAAUUGGGUUGGUUAUUCAAAGUACAAUACUGUAAUAGAAAAAAAUAAAGGUAUGAUGCUACAAUAUGAAAAUCAAAGAACCAACAUUACUAUUUCUUGCAAAUAACCAUAGAUUUUUAUUGUAAUAAAGAGAUUUUGUAAUCAUAUUCAAGACAUGGAUCAAUUAUAAAGUUAGGAAAAUGAACAAAAAAAACAUUUCCAGUAAACCUAAGGCAUGACACAACUCCCAACUCCCAAAAAAUAAAUCAGAAAAAAGACCGAUAUACCCUCAAUAACUAUACACCAGAUAUGCGACAAGAUAUUAUAAAAGUAUGAAUUGAUAUCAUACCUUGUUUAAAAGCUGCACAUUGGAUGAAUCAGUUGCCACAACAUGUAACCCAAGACAAUUGUGUUGAUCACUACAAAAAGGGCAGAAAGCCGUAUUAAAUACACAUCCAUCUUCUUUACUCCAUAUUCCUUCAUCACCACUUCUUUUCCAAAUUCUCCCAUCAACACAUGAAAGAUCAGACACCACAAUAGCCACACUUGCCCCACCCUUUUCUCUCCCUUUCCAACUUGACACCAAAUGCACUUUAGAUAAUGACAUUGAUGAACAAGGGACAAAAUAGUCAUUUUCCGCAAGACCCAAUGGAGUUUUACAGAGUGAACACGAUAUUUUUAGAUCUUUCUUGGUUUCAUCACCAAGAUUCAUGGUUUCUUUCACUGGAAAUGUGGGUUUGGGUUUGGGGGAAUCAAAUUGGGACAUUUUGACUGAUGCAAAAGCUGAAGACUUUCUUCUUUUGUGAAAAUGGGAAUUGACACUUGAAUCUAGAGGUGAAUUGGUUUGAGGGAUUUGUUGUUUUUUAGGUGUUGGUGUUGUUGUGUUCAUGCAUUCAGAAGCUGAAGUGGAACAAGGGGAAGAAAAGGAACAAGUGGGAAACUUUGAUUGGAUUAUGGUUGACUCAGAGACAGAUUCAAGAGUAGCAGGGUAACUGUUCUUGAUUGGUGUUUCCUUCAGAAUAGGUGGCUCAUGGUCAAGGGCAUUAUCGUCAUUUCUCGGGGUUUCAUGAACAAUGGUUAAGUCGAAAUCGUCAUCAUGAGAUAUAUUCAUUGAUGGUGGCGAUGGAAACCUGCACCCAUCAUAAGACAUACAUCUGUUACCAACUUCUAUUCUCUUUUAGAGUAAUUACAAGAAUGGUCCCUGUGUUAUUCCCAACAUUUCAGAUUCAGUCCAACUUCUAUGAUAAAAUGACUUUUCUACCCUCACAUGUUUCUUUUUAAAGAACAUUGCAUUUUUGGUCCCCAAGUAUAGCUGAUGUUUUUAAUUUUGGUCCCAAAAGGUUGUCAUGCUAAUUUGGUCCUUAUUUAAGAUUUUUGUAACGUUUUUUGUCCCUGUUCCUAGUAAAAUGGCUAUUUUUGGGAUCGAAAUUUCAAAAAUCACACCCAUAGACCAAAAUGGUCACUUAAUUUGGAACCGGGACCAAAAACAUUACACGAAUGUCAAAUAAGGACCAAAAAUGCAAAAGAAAACCUUUUAGUACCAAAAUUGCAAAAAGCAACCAUACUCAAGGAGCAAAAAUGUAAUUUGACUCUUCUUUUUAACUUUUCUAUAAUUUGUUUAUUUUAAACUAUUGUUAGAUGUCAUUUUACAUGGAUCAGUGACAGAUCAGAAACAAAAACCAAUGUUAGGGACCAAUUUGAAACAAAAAAAAAAAACAUUGGACUGAAUAUGCAACAGUGGGUAUAACACAAGGACCAUUCUUGUAACUAACUCUUUUUAUUUCAAUGAUUGAAAGAACAAGACGCGUAGAUAAAAUAACAAGUUUAAAAUACCUGUUUUGUGUCUCCAAAUCACCUUUGGAGUCAGUGUAAGUUAUACCAGUAUUGAUGUCACUCUUUUUCACUCCCCUAAUUGUUUCCUGAGGUCUAGAUUCUGCUUUGAGGGAGGGGCAAUGUAACUUUUUAGAUGUAAUCGGAAACUUUUUUAAUAUUAAUGUGUAACCUCACUAUGAGAAACCUUCAUCAACAAAAAUUAUGAACCCUAAUGAAAAACCAAAAAAAAAAAAAAAAAAUAGAAAAUAAAGAGUGAUACAAAAUGCCUUCAUCAUUUCAACAUCUAUCAUUUCCAUAUUCUCUUUUUCAUAGUCCAUACAGGUCCCAUUGGUUUUCUUGAUUGGUAUUUCCUUCAUACUGGGUGGCUCAUAGUCAAGGGCAUUAUCGUCAUUUCUCAGGCUUUCAUGAACAAUGGUUUAUUUGAAAUCGUCAUGAGAUAUAUUCAUUGAAGGCGACGAUAAAAACCUGCACAGAACAUAAGAAGAUAUAUAUAACCGAAUUUCAUUCUUUUUAUCUCAGAAGUUGAAAACAAAACAGAGCUUUAUGAUCUUUGCUAAUAAAGCAUUUGUAGUUGAGACUCACUUCUUCAAGAAUGAAGUGCUUUUAUACAAAUCAAACAUUAAUACUAGGGGUGUUGAACGGGUAAUUUUUUCGGGUUUCGGGUAAUUCGGGUCGGGUAAUUCGGGUUUUUCAUGUUAGAAAAAUUACCCGUUACCCUACCCAAACUAAAUUCGGGUAAUUCGGGUAUCGGGUCGGGUUUGGGUAAUUCGGGUAUUACCCGAAAUAUAUGAUUUUUUUUUUGAAUUUCACCUAAAAAUAAAUUUAAUGGAAUAAAUACGUCGUGCUUUAUUAGUCUUGUUUAUAUAAACAAACGAGACAUAAACGAAGUUACUCAAGCUUUGAACAUUGAGAUUUUCUACUCAAUAAUACAUGAGAUAUCAAGUAUUUUUGUAACGACUUAAUCUAAUCUAAUAAGAUGUUAAAAAAACAAAUACCUAAAGAUCUUAAUUUAAAAGUUUAAAAUGUUUAAGAUAAACGUAGUCAUAAGUUUUGCCAUGUUUUAAAGUUUCGUCAAGAUAAUGAGUUUGUUAAUUGUAAUAAAAACUAUAAUAUAGAAAACAGUUAAGUUUUAAAGAACGUGAUGAUAUAUAAAAAUUACUUUUAAUAUUGUUAGUGUCGUAUUGUCAUAAUAAAUAUAUUUAUGUUUUAUAAUAAUGAUAUUAGUUUAAGCGUGAUCAAAUACUUGCUAUAUAGUACAAGCUCUAUAAGAAAAAUGAAAUUUUAAAAUAAUUUGGGUAAUUCGGGUAAUUCGGGUAUACCCGAAAUCCAAAAAAUGUACCCUUUACCCGACCCGAAAAAAAUCGGGUAACCCGAUUACCCGGAAAAUUUACCCGAUACCCGAUUUACCCGACCCGAUUUACCCGUUACCCGAAAAAAUCGGGCGGGUAAUUCGGGUAUCGGGUAUUUUCGACAGGGCUAAUUAAUACACUCAACUUACACUAUUUGUAAUGUAGAGGUUGAGCAACAAGAUCAUUUGAAAUGUGAGGUUGCUGCCAGGACUUGGUUUGAGAUUUUUAAAUGGUUGGAGAUUUCACAAAUUCCUUUUGAUUCCGUUCCUGAUUUGUUUAUGUUGGUGGAUCAGUUGCCUAUCGCUUCGAAAAAGAAAGUUGUCUUGGAUACUGUGGUCUGAAUUUCUAUUUGGUAUAUCUGGAGGUUCAGAAAUAAAAAAGUGUUUGUUUGAGGAAAGAUAAGGCGGAGUGAGAUUGUGGACUCUAUUAUCCAAUUUUCUUAUCUUUGGUAUAAUAACAGGAACAGCAAAUGUAUCAUAGAUAGGAUAAAUUGCCAGUGAGGCUAUUUCAGAAAAAAAUGAAAAAUACACUCAACUUACAAGAGGUGCCAUUGAAGAAUUUUAUCAAACACUUGGUGUUCAUAAAAAUAAAGAACACAGAUCUGUUGAAUUAAGGGCAGUUUUAGGUUAUUCAUUCUUUUUCUUUUCUUUCUUGUCCAGUAUGUGCUAAGAGAGUUUCAUCUAUGUAUUACCAUUCUAUGCACCUUCAACCCCUGAAUUUAUGCAUUAUUUAAAAUAAUUGAAUAUGUACAAACCAACCAAAAAAAAACUUGUGUAAUUAUUGCUAAGUUAGUCACAUCUUAAUCAAAUAGAAGAAAUGGACACAUCAUACAUGAGAUUACAUGAAACUAGAAAUUCAAUAAUUCGAAUUGAAAUUUUAAGCAAGCAACUCUGAUUACAAGUCAAUUCAAUGAUCAGAUAAUUAAGGUAGAGAAACAUGUACAUGAUUAGGAAGAAGGAAACAAGUGUAGGAUGUAAUCAUACCUAUGCUAUUUAGCUGACUUCAAAAUGAGCCAAACUGGACGUGUGAAUUCAAAUGUUCCUCUAGAACUGCCAUCCCUGUAGGAGAUUACAAAAAAGUGGUAAAUUAGAGAGUAAUGUAAAGUUUUUGUUGGAAAAAACAUUAGUCUGUUAAUAAUAACCAAAGGUGACACCACAUACCUCUUGUUGAUAGGUCUUUAUAAAAGAGUUGGGUUCUUCUGUUACAUGACAAAAUCCAAAAGUUGUAUCUAUUAACUUUAGCUCCGGAGUAGUUGAUUGCCCAUUUGUGAAUACUGUUAUUUUUGGACAAUAUUUGAUUUCCAAAGUAUCUAAUGAUGGCCAUUCAAAAGCCUCCUUCCCCAGGCAAAAUCCCUUGAGAUUUGGAAGCUUUUCAAGUGUUAUGGAUUUCAGACAAGGGAACACAACCUCAGUAGUAGUCAGUCUGGUUUCGGAAUCUUCAACUUGCUUCACAAUCACAUCCAUACUCUCGCAGUCACUUAUUUUUAGCUCUUGGAGCUGGAAUAGACUACCAACCAUGCAACUACUGAAAACGUGUCCAAGAAGCUUACAACUUACAAUUGAGACCUUUGUAAGGUUUGGAAAGUUCAACACUAUCCACCGAUUGCUCUUCCACACAUGCUUCAGAGUAUUUAUUCCACCCAAAGUCACCUCUUUCAGCUUCUCAAAUACCACAACAGAUUGCAUUCCAAUAUCCACAUCUUCAUUUGUCCCUUCUGCUACUUCAAAUACUUCCUCUAUUUUAGAUUCACCAUACUUCCUGGUAAUAGAAAGCUUUUCAAGAUUCUUCAAAUUAAGCAACUCCUUGCAUGGAAAAAUUAUGCGGCUUUCCAACAAUUUGUCAAUCCAUUGUGCAUCUACUUCAACUAAAUUUGAAAGAGACCACGGGAACUGAAGUAGCUUUAUCAAAUCUGGAGUAGAGCACAUAGGGAGUUGAGUCUGCUAAGAAAAAUCAAACAUAGAUAGAUCAUCACAAACACGACAAUUACUAAAGAAAAAUACAUUUAAUAUUACAAACAUAAUAAGGAUUGCAAGUUAUGUUAUUCUUCAAUGAGCCAACAUGUAUUUUCAAUCAACAACCUAGUUUAUGACACUGCUUACAUUAUAUUUUGUGAAGAUGAGCAUCAUGAAGAAAAUUUCUGCAUUAUAUAUUGCAUUUGCUCAAACAAUUUAGAUUGUUAUCGAUGAUUGUUGAGUCUUUUUAAAUAAAAGUAAAAAUUAUAGUUUGUGGGUGAGUGGGUAGGGAGGAUAAAAUAAAAAGUAAAAGUUAAGUGUUUUGGCUACUUCAAAAAGGGUAAUUUUUCAUGUACUGAAUAUUUACAUCCAAUUUUUUUAGGAAAAAAGAUAAUUAUGUUAUUGUAUUUUUUAUUGCAUUGUCAAAUACAACAAAUGAUAUAUGGAUGAUAUGCUUACACUUUUACAAUCAUCUCAGCUAUACUAUUUUCGUCAAUUUUAGGUAAUAAACGCUAAAAAAAAAUGUUUACCUUGUAAAAGAUGAGAGAGAAAAGAAGAACUUGAUUAAGUAACAACUAGCAUCACAAUAUUUAUAAAAUAUGUUAGAUAAUUGAAUUAAAUUGGAUGAAAACGAUAUAAAUGAUUUAAUUACAAUAUAUACUUCCAUACAAAAAUCUAUUUGUUAACAGAUAUGAGUGAAAAUAUGUAUAAUAAGGCAAUGCUUUAAUUUCCAUCUAUUUUGUGUUUUCUUUUCUUAACCGAAUGAAGAUGUUAGUUCUAAGUUCCUAAUUAAUGAUAUAUGACAAGUACCAAACGAUCACAUUCUAUGAAAUUUACAAAUGAUUUGAAUAAGAAUGAACUUGCCAAGUAUCAUUUGUAAUACACAAGAAAAUAAUUUUUUAUUUUCAUAUAUUUGAUAUAAAUUCUUAAGUCUUGUAUUUUUAAGGAACGUAACUAUUAUGUGAAUUUUAGAAGCACUUUUUCUUAGGUGCUUAUUUUGUUAUUCCUUUAAUUGAAUACUUGCCCAAACUCAGAGCCACUAGUUAGAUUGUUUGUUUUUCUACAAAGCGAUCAAUUUUUUGUCAAAUUAAAAUACGUUUUAGCGAAAACUGCAAAUUUGGUCCCUGUAUUUGUUGAUUUUUGUGGUUACAAUGGGGACAGUGUAAUAAAGAAGGGGUUGUUGAUCUGAUUCUGAUCAAACGGAAACUAGUAUUGUAUAUGUUCAGAAAUCUUUGGACAUGGAAAAAACCACCCUCAAUGAAUGCGUCAAUUGGGCUUUUUGUCUUUACUUCAUCUAACUUGAUUAAAAUAAUAAAUUGCUAACUUAUGAAUUAGUGAAUAUAACAUCUUUUAUAACAUAAGAGACAACUUAAUAUCUUAGGAAUGAAAUAUUAACUUAUAAUAAAAAAAUAAAAUUGCAUAUUUUCGUAACUUUUUAUAGAUACAAAAAAUGGGAAGUGGUUAUAUAUGUAUCUUCAUUUGGUUUUGUUUGUGUUUCCUUCCGGAAUACACAUAUGAACCGACUAAAUUAGUAAGCAAAUAAUAUGUUGAACAUCAUAAAACGACAUCCUGAUCACCUGGUUAAAUGAUGAAGUAAGGUAACAACAUACCUCAUGUGUAGCAUUGGUCAAAUGGAAGUUGAGGCCAUAUUGAUCAAGACUAUGCUUGCCUAAUUCUGUAUGUAUGUAAUUGAGCUUCGGAGUCAUGGAGUGACCAGAUGUGAAAUUCAUCAUUUGUGGGCAGCCAUAAAUCUUAACCUUUUCCAAUGCUUUCCACUUGAACUCAUUCUUCCCCAAGAAGAAACCCUUGAGAUCUGGUAAAUCUGCAAGUGUAAGGGACUUGAGACGAGGGAAGAAACCCUUGAGUUCUGGUAAAUCUCCGUCUUCCUUCACAAUCACUUUCACUGCCUUGCAUUGUUUUACAGUCAGUUUUUUGAGUUGCUUGAGGCUUUCAAGUGUGGAACUUGUGAUUAUAUAUUCCAAUACUUCACAUCUUUCUAUUUCCAAUAUCGUUAGGUUGGGCAAUUGAAGCAGAGUCAUAUUGGCCGACCUUGGGAUGGUGAUUGCAGUACAAGUAUCAUCACUUCCAUCACCAACAUUCGUAGUACUAUCAACACCAUCUUUUUUUAUUUCUUUACUUUCAAAUAUCUCCACCAUUGACUUACAUUCUUCUAUUCUCAACUCUUCAAGC